This 234-nucleotide ribosomal RNA is filed under the name uncultured bacterium. RNAcentral describes it as "partial 16S ribosomal RNA". It matches the Rfam family "Bacterial small subunit ribosomal RNA", at positions 97 to 334 of the family's 1533-position model. The record is from RNAcentral.
GGCGGACGGGUGAGUAACGCGUGGGAAUCUGCCUACUAGCGGGGGAUAGCCCGGAGAAAUCCGGAUUAAUACCGCAUACGCCCUACGGGGGAAAGCUGGGGAUCUUCGGACCUGGCACUAGUAGAUGAGCCCGCGUUGGAUUAGCUUGUUGGUGGGGUAAAGGCCUACCAAGGCAACGAUCCAUAGCUGUUCUGAGAGGAAGAUCAGCCACACUGGGGCUGAGACACGGCCCAG